This 917-nucleotide ribosomal RNA is filed under the name Nigrospora sp. MW-2017a. Its description in RNAcentral is "eukaryotic LSU rRNA". It matches the Rfam family "Eukaryotic large subunit ribosomal RNA", at positions 1 to 948 of the family's 3401-position model. The record is from RNAcentral. Lineage: Eukaryota; Fungi; Ascomycota; Sordariomycetes; Amphisphaeriales; Apiosporaceae.
AGGGAUUCCCCUAGUAACGGCGAGUGAAGCGGGAACAGCUCAAAUUUGAAAUCUGGCCCUUGGAACAGGGAUUCCCCUAGUAACGGCGAGUGAAGCGGGAACAGCUCAAAUUUGAAAUCUGGCCCUUGGGUCCGAGUUGUAAUUUGUAGAGGAUGCUUUUGGUGCGGUGCCUUCCGAGUUCCCUGGAACGGGACGCCUUAGAGGGUGAGAGCCCCGUACGGUUGGACGCCUAGCCUCUGUAAAGCUCCUUCGACGAGUCGAGUAGUUUGGGAAUGCUGCUCUAAAUGGGAGGUAUAUUUCUUCUAAAGCUAAAUACUGGCCAGAGACCGAUAGCGCACAAGUAGAGUGAUCGAAAGAUGAAAAGCACUUUGAAAAGAGGGUUAAAUAGCACGUGAAAUUGUUGAAAGGGAAGCGUUUAUCACCAGACUUUUUCUGGGGGGAUCAUCCGGUGUUCUCACCGGUGCACUUCCCCCAGUUGAGGCCAGCAUCGGUUUUCGGAGGGGGAUAAAAGUUUCGGGAAUGUGACUCCCUCGGGAGUGUUAUAGCCCGUUACAUAAUACCCUUCUGGGGACCGAGGUUCGCGCAUCUGCAAGGAUGCUGGCAUAAUGGUGAUCAACGACCCGUCUUGAAACACGGACCAAGGAGUCGAACAUUUAUGCGAGUGUUUGGGUGUUAAACCCUCACGCGUAAUGAAAGUGAACGGAGGUGAGAGCCCUUACGGGUGCAUCAUCGACCGAUCCUGAUGUCUUCGGAUGGAUUUGAGUAAGAGCAUAACUGUUCGGACCCGAAAGAUGGUGAACUAUGCGUGGAUAGGGUGAAGCCAGGAGAAAUCCUGGUGGAGGCUCGCAGCGGUUCUGACGUGCAAAUCGAUCGUCAAAUCUGCGCAUGGGGGCGAAAGACUAAUCGAACCAUCUAGU